This 497-nucleotide ribosomal RNA is filed under the name uncultured bacterium. RNAcentral describes it as "partial 16S ribosomal RNA". It matches the Rfam family "Bacterial small subunit ribosomal RNA", at positions 28 to 507 of the family's 1533-position model. The record is from RNAcentral.
GAUGAACGCUGGCGGCGUGCCUAAUACAUGCAAGUCGAGCGCAUAGCGAAAGGUGCUUGCACCUUUCAAGUGAGUGGCGAACGGGUGAGUAACACGUGGACAACCUGCCUCAAGGCUGGGGAUAACAUUUGGAAACAGAUGCUAAUACCGAAUAAAACUUAGUGUCGCAUGACACAAAGUUAAAAGGCGCUUCGGCGUCACCUAGAGAUGGAUCCGCGGUGUAUUAGUUAGUUGGUGGGGUAAAGGCCUACCAAGACAAUGAUGCAUAGCCGAGUUGAGAGACUGAUCGGCCACAUUGGGACUGAGACACGGCCCAAACUCCUACGGGAGGCUGCAGUAGGGAAUCUUCCACAAUGGGCGAAGGCCUGAUGGAGCAACGCCGCGUGUGUGAUGAAGGCUUUCGGGUCGUAAAGCACUGUUGUAUGGGAAGAACAGCUAGAAUAGGAAAUGAUUUUAGUUUGACGGUACCAUACCAGAAAGGGACGGCUAAAUACGUG